Molecule: non-coding RNA, 30 nt
Filed under: Homo sapiens (human)
Lineage: Eukaryota; Metazoa; Chordata; Mammalia; Primates; Hominidae
Source: RNAcentral
UGAGCUAUGAUUGCACCACUGUACUCCUGC